RNAcentral lists this transfer RNA (72 nucleotides) under Camelus dromedarius (Arabian camel). It matches the Rfam family "tRNA". Rfam says of the family: Transfer RNA (tRNA) molecules are approximately 80 nucleotides in length. RNAcentral also lists the same sequence under 1 other name. Lineage: Eukaryota; Metazoa; Chordata; Mammalia; Artiodactyla; Camelidae. The record is from Rfam by way of RNAcentral.
GAGGGGUUAGCUCAGUGGUAGAGCGUGUGCUUAGCAUGCACGAGGUCCUGGGUUCAAGCCCCAGAACCUCCA